This 595-nucleotide ribosomal RNA is filed under the name uncultured Gammaproteobacteria bacterium. Its description in RNAcentral is "bacterial SSU rRNA". It matches the Rfam family "Bacterial small subunit ribosomal RNA", at positions 1 to 532 of the family's 1533-position model. Lineage: Bacteria; Pseudomonadati; Pseudomonadota; Gammaproteobacteria. The record is from RNAcentral.
GUUGGGAGCGCUCCCAUAUGGUCGACCUGCAGGCGGGCGCGAAUUCACUAGUGAUUAGAGUGUGAUCAUGGGUCAGAUUGAACGCUGGCGGCAUGCCUAACACAUGCAAGUCGAACGGCAGCAUGCCUUUAGGAAACUAGAGGUGGUGGCGAGUGGCGGACGGGUGAGUAGCGCAUAGGAAUUUAGCUUACAGAAGGGGAUAGCCUGGGGAAACCUGGGGUAAUACCGUAUAAAGUCGAGAGACCAAAAGCCGGGGACCGAGAGGCCUGGUGCUGUGAGGGGAGCCUAUGUCGGAUUAGCUAGUUGGUAGGGUAAAGGCCUACCAAGGCGACGAUCCGUAGCUGGUCUGAGAGGACGGCCAGCCACACUGGGACUGAGACACGGCCCAGACUCCUACGGGAGGCAGCAGUGGGGGAUAUUGGACAAUGGGGGGAACCCUGAUCCAGCGAUGCCGCGUGUGUGAAGAAGGCCUUCAAGGUUGUAAAGCACUUUUGUCCGGAAAGAAAACCUCGUGGUUAAUACCCGUGGGGGAUGACGGUACCGUAAGAAUAAGCCCCGGCUAACUACGUGCCAGCAGCCGCGGUAAUACGAAUCG